GCCGGCAUGGUGAAAUGGCAUACACGGCAGACUCAAAAUCUGCUGCCCGCGAGGGCGUGAGGGUUCGAGCCCCUCUGCCGGUACUA
Molecule: transfer RNA, 86 nt
Filed under: Spirochaetae bacterium HGW-Spirochaetae-3
Lineage: Bacteria; Pseudomonadati; Spirochaetota
Description: tRNA-Leu
Rfam family: tRNA
About the family: Transfer RNA (tRNA) molecules are approximately 80 nucleotides in length. Their secondary structure includes four short double-helical elements and three loops (D, anti-codon, and T loops). Further hydrogen bonds mediate the characteristic L-shaped molecular structure. tRNAs have two regions of fundamental functional importance: the anti-codon, which is responsible for specific mRNA codon recognition, and the 3' end, to which the tRNAs corresponding amino acid is attached (by aminoacyl-tRNA synthetases). tRNAs cope with the degeneracy of the genetic code in two manners: having more than one tRNA (with a specific anti-codon) for a particular amino acid; and 'wobble' base-pairing, i.e. permitting non-standard base-pairing at the 3rd anti-codon position.
Source: RNAcentral